UACGUAGGGGGCAAGCGUUGUCCGGAAUUAUUGGGCGUAAAGCGCGCGCAGGCGGUCAUUUAAGUCUGGUGUUUAAUCCCGGGGCUCAACCCCGGUUCGCAUUGGAAACUGGAUGACUUGAGUGUAAGAGAGGAAAGUGGAAUUCCACGUGUAGCGGUGAAAUGCGUAGAGAUGUGGAGGAACACCAGUGGCGAAGGCGGUUGCCUGGAGCUUUGCUGACGCUGAGGCGCGAAAGCGUGGGGAGCGAUCCGG
Molecule: ribosomal RNA, 252 nt
Filed under: uncultured bacterium
Lineage: Bacteria
Description: partial 16S ribosomal RNA
Rfam family: Bacterial small subunit ribosomal RNA
Source: RNAcentral